UUUUUAAUAGUUCAAAUCCAGUUUUUUAAAAUUAAAUUAUGAAACAAAGGUGAUGUGAAUAAUCAUAUUGAAUGGUAAGUGCAAUAAAAUCUGCAUAUGCAUUGAAUUCAGAAUUGAGUCAUGUCCAAUAUUACAGUCUAACCUCAAUUCCUAUCAAAUAAAUUAAAAAAUAGUUGGUCCCAUAUUUAUGGCUUUCUGAUUAUAGGGUCUUCUAUGGAGGUAACAUUAUUCCCCUUGAAUUCUUCUCUAUUGUUCUUAUCUUUGCAGUGACUAUCCUUGUCUGUCUCUGCGUUGCUCCACUCCACCCCAUCCCUAUUUCCUCUGCCUAUUCACCUCUCCCUGCUUCUCUGGCUCUUUUCUCUUUGUCAUCUUUAUUUUCCCUCCUCCCUCGUUCAGUAAUUAUAAUCUCUUUAAUAUUUUUAAAAACCAAACUCAUAUGUUGAAAUUAAUAAAUUAGAGUCUCUGUACCUAUCAUUAAACAAAUCUUUGGGCAAACUUUUAUACUAGGAUGCAUAUUUCCACAUAGCCACUUAUAUUCCAACCUAAUCUAAGAGUGAAAAUGACUGUUGACCAGAAAUUAAUACUUUUACCAAUAGUCAAAAAUAGUGAUCAUAUUUCAACAAUAGAUAACUUUAUUUACUAUUGCCAGAAAGAUUCAUAAUUAUCUUUGUGUGUAUAUAUUUAAUUAUAAUCACACUUGAUUGGAUUACAGUUUCCAAGAACUAAUUAUGGCUGUUAGUGGCUAUUAAAUAAGAAAAUGUGUUUGCAGCUCAAACAUUUGUCUUGUUAUGUUUCCUAGUGGAAAAAGGCAUAUACUGACAGGAUGCCAAUUUGUUUUAAGUGAAUUCAUGUUACUACCCUGCACAAUAAAAUAAUAUACAAGGCUGUGCUUUGUGAAUUAUGAGUUAUAUUAGUGAAUAUCAUUUUCUGAUUGCCUGCAUUUUUCCUAUUUUAUAUACAUGAUCAUUUUUGUAAGUAAAAUUAAUAUAAAAUUUAAAUACUUGUGAAUAAAGAGAUGUAGCACUGUUUUCUAUCAAACUACACUAAUCCUUUCAAGCAAAAAGUAGUUUAUUAAAUCAUAUUCCACUAAUUUUAAGGUGUUGAUGCAUUUGUCAUAUUACCUAAUUAACACUGUGUUAUGGGAGAAUUUUUGUAGCAUAUAUUUUGAAUUAUUAUUAUUAUUUUUUUUUUUUUUUUUUUGAGACGGAGUCUCGCUCUGUCGCCCAGGCCGGACUGCGGACUGCAGUGGCGCAAUCUCGGCUCACUGCAAGCUCCGCUUCCCGGGUUCACGCCAUUCUCCUGCCUCAGCCUCCCGAGUAGCUGGGACUACAGGCGCCCGCCACCGUGCCCGGCUAAUUUUUUGUAUUUUUAGUAGAGACGGGGUUUCACCUUGUUAGCCAGGAUGGUCUCGAUCUCCUGACCUCAUGAUCCACCCGCCUCGGCCUCCCAAAGUGCUGGGAUUACAGGCGUGAGCCACCGCGCCCGGCCUUGAAUUAUUUUUAAUUGUCUUAAGAUAACUGACUUUGAAGAAAUAAUAGCUAUUUGUUAUCUAACUUCACUUGUAAAUUUUGCCUACU
This 1577-nucleotide long non-coding RNA is filed under the name Homo sapiens (human). RNAcentral describes it as "HSALNT0076420". Lineage: Eukaryota; Metazoa; Chordata; Mammalia; Primates; Hominidae. The record is from RNAcentral.